This 495-nucleotide ribosomal RNA is filed under the name uncultured bacterium. RNAcentral describes it as "partial 16S ribosomal RNA". It matches the Rfam family "Bacterial small subunit ribosomal RNA", at positions 28 to 507 of the family's 1533-position model. The record is from RNAcentral.
GACGAACGCUGGCGGCGUGCCUAAUACAUGCAAGUAGAACGCUGAAGGAGGAGCUUGCUUCUCUGGAUGAGUUGCGAACGGGUGAGUAACGCGUAGGUAACCUGCCUGGUAGCGGGGGAUAACUAUUGGAAACGAUAGCUAAUACCGCAUAAUAGUAGAUGUUGCAUGACAUUUGCUUAAAAGGUGCAAUUGCCUCACUACCAGAUGGACCUGCGUUGUAUUAGCUAGUUGGUGGGGUAACGGCUCACCAAGGCGACGAUUCAUAGCCGACCUGAGAGGGUGGACCGCCAAACUGGGACUGGGACACCGCCCAGACUUCUACGGGAGGCAGCAGGAGGGAAUCUUCGGAAAUGGACGGAAGGCUGACCGAGCAACGCCGCGGGAGGGAAGGAGGUUUUCGGGUCGGAAAGCUCUGUUGUAAGGGAAGAACGAGUGUGAGAGUGGAAAGUUCACACUGUGACGGUAUCUUACCAGAAAGGGACGGCUAACUACGUG